This 507-nucleotide ribosomal RNA is filed under the name uncultured bacterium. Its description in RNAcentral is "bacterial SSU rRNA". It matches the Rfam family "Bacterial small subunit ribosomal RNA", at positions 899 to 1397 of the family's 1533-position model. The record is from RNAcentral.
ACUCAAAUGAAUAGACGGGGGCUCACACAAGCAGUGGAGCAUGUGGCUUAAUUCGAAGCAACGCGAAGAACCUUAUCCUGGAUUUGACUACUAUGGAUGCCCUCCGUGAAAGCGGAGUAAGCUGCCUUCGGGUGAAACAUAGAACAGGUGCUGCAUGGCUGUCGUCAGCUCGUGUCGUGAGAUGUCGGGUUAAGUCCCUUAACGAGCGAAACCCUUAUCGUUAGUUGCCAGCGCGUUAUGGCGGGAACUCUAGCGAGACUGCCGGUGUUAAACCGGAGGAAGGUGGGGAUGACGUCAAGUCCUCAUGGCCUUUAUGUCCAGGGCUGCACACGUGCUACAAUGCCGCGUACAAACCGACGCGAUACCGCGAGGUGGAGCAAAUCGGAGAAAGCGCGGCCCAGUUCGGAUUGAAGUCUGCAACUCGACUUCAUGAAGUUGGAAUUGCUAGUAAUCGCGGAUCAGCAUGCCGCGGUGAAUAUGUUCCUGAGCCUUGUACACACCGCCCGU